GAAUGCAAAGAUAGCCAUGACGAU
This 24-nucleotide non-coding RNA is filed under the name Arabidopsis thaliana (thale cress). Lineage: Eukaryota; Viridiplantae; Streptophyta; Magnoliopsida; Brassicales; Brassicaceae. The record is from RNAcentral.